RNAcentral lists this transfer RNA (106 nucleotides) under Mesocricetus auratus (golden hamster). It matches the Rfam family "tRNA". From Rfam's summary of the family: Transfer RNA (tRNA) molecules are approximately 80 nucleotides in length. The record is from Rfam by way of RNAcentral. Lineage: Eukaryota; Metazoa; Chordata; Mammalia; Rodentia; Cricetidae.
GUCAGGAUGGCCGAGUGGUCUAAGGCGCCAGACUCAAGGCGUGAGCCUUCCCUCCGGGCGUUCUGGUCUCCGAAUGGAGGCGUGGGUUCGAAUCCCACUUCUGACA